CAACGCAUUGCCGGCAACUUAAUUAAAGCCCAGUUAGUGCGCAGGCCUCGACUGGGCCAGCCGUUCACUUCUCCUGGCUUUUCCUGGGACCCACGUCCUGGCAAGGUUCCUAAAAAUAGCUGCCAAACGGGACCUGUCUAGCGGAUGGUAUCAUAUAGCACGUCAGAGCCAAUGAACCGGCUGCCGAGAACUCGCCACUCCAAGUCUGCCUGACAACAAUCCCCUGCAGCCGGUUGACCUUAUGAUUUCAGCCGUUCCAGGCGAUCGACUGCUCUGGGACUUCUCUAAAUGGCAAAAAGUACAGAAGCGUUCAUUGGGCGUGAUUUUCCUGUUACAUGGGAUUGAUAUAAAUGUGGAAUUCAGCAGUGACAGUGAGCAAAAGAUGAUAAAAGUAAACAAAAUGAUUACGCAGACAACAAAGCGAUGAUAUCGUCACCUGCACCGGCACACAGAAAGAAAUUAGAUAAUUGAAGUAUUAUCAAUAUAUAUUCCAAUUACUCUGGUAUACAAAAGUGACUCAGUAUUUUUGUUUAUCAGAUAAAGCUGUACCCUCAACUAAUUUAAAUUGCUUCUAGAAAAAUGUUAGGGCUUUAAAGCAAUUACAUGUGUUUUAACUUUAAAUGAUUCAAUUACCUAACAAACCAACAGUAUAUUACAAAACAAUUUAAUCAAUGCAGAACCACAUACUGUUUGACUACUCAUGUAAGAAGUUAAAUAAUACUUUAAAAAUAUUCCAUAUGAAGAGGUAAUGGUAUGCAAAUAAUAUAGAUAAGCUGGAAGCCAAACAAUAUGCAACUGAAUAAUCAAUUUUUUUCUCUGUAACUGCUGGAUCUUUAUGACAAUGUGAAUUAUCCCGAUAAGCGGGCGGAACGAUAUCAUAAACGUACUUCCCAUAAAGCGGGAAUUUAAACUGUCUGAUGAAAUAAGCGCAACAUUUGCGUCAGCCCCGUCUAAAGAGAUAGUGAUUAAGAGAGCGCGAUCCUAUACUAAUAAUACCAUAUACUAAAAACUCAUUCUCUUGAGCGGUGGUCCCCAAAAUGGUCUCUCGGGUGAAGGUAACUACGAAAUAAUACACAUGCAGGCCAUAUGAUUUGUGGCUGAUUAGCAAAUGGGACUGAAUGAUAAAGCCUUUUGCGGCGGGUGGGAUGGGUGUGUUCAGUGUCCGGGCGUUUAGAUGUACGUAUGUGUUUUCGAGUGCCCUGCUUCUACGUGGGUGGGACUACAACAAUAUUUAUGAUAAUCGUAAUAUGUAACUUG
Molecule: long non-coding RNA, 1257 nt
Organism: Drosophila biarmipes
Lineage: Eukaryota; Metazoa; Arthropoda; Insecta; Diptera; Drosophilidae
Exons: 3
Source: RefSeq, a predicted model, not a curated record